Ribosomal RNA from Erinaceus europaeus (western European hedgehog), 123 nucleotides. The record is from Ensembl. Lineage: Eukaryota; Metazoa; Chordata; Mammalia; Eulipotyphla; Erinaceidae.
GUCUAUGCCCAUACCACAUUGAACAUGCCCAAGUGUUGUCUUAUCUUGGAAGCUAAGGAAAGUCAGGCCUGGUUGGUACUUGGAAGGAUAAAAUAUGUCUGGUAAGAUAAGGUGGUUCAGUUU